GUUUCCUACGGGAGGCAGCAGUGAGGAAUAUUGGUCAAUGGGCGGAAGCCUGAACCAGCCAAGUCGCGUGAGGGAAUAAGGCCCUACGGGUCGUAAACCUCUUUUGCCGGGGAGCAAGGGCGGGGACGUGUCCCGGCCCGGAGAGUACCCGGAGAAAAAGCAUCGGCUAACUCCGUGCCAGCGGCCGCGGUAAUACGGAGGAUGCGAGCGUUAUCCGGAUUUAUUGGGUUUAAAGGGUGCGUAGGGGGGCUUUUAAGCCAGCGGUAAAAAUUCGGGGGUCAACCCCGUCCGG
RNAcentral lists this ribosomal RNA (292 nucleotides) under uncultured bacterium. RNAcentral describes it as "partial 16S ribosomal RNA". It matches the Rfam family "Bacterial small subunit ribosomal RNA", at positions 334 to 622 of the family's 1533-position model. The record is from RNAcentral.